This 260-nucleotide ribosomal RNA is filed under the name uncultured Glomus. Its description in RNAcentral is "partial 18S ribosomal RNA". It matches the Rfam family "Eukaryotic small subunit ribosomal RNA", at positions 624 to 886 of the family's 1831-position model. Lineage: Eukaryota; Fungi; Glomeromycota; Glomeromycetes; Glomerales; Glomeraceae. The record is from RNAcentral.
AAGCUCGUAGUUGAAUUUCGGGGUUAGUAGGUUGGUCAUGCCUCUGGUAUGUACUGGUCUCACUGAUUCCUCCUUCCUUAUGAACCGUAAUGCCAUUAAUUUGGUGUUGCGGGGGAAUUUGGACUGUUACUUUGAAAAAAUUAGAGUGUUUAAAGCAAGCUAACGCUUGAAUACAUUAGCAUGGAAUAGUGAAAUAGGACGUUCGAUCUUAUUUUGUUGGUUUCUUAGGAUUGACGUAAUGAUUAAUAGGGAUAGUUGGG